RNAcentral lists this ribosomal RNA (1388 nucleotides) under Myiomma sp. UNSW ENT 00029286. Its description in RNAcentral is "SSU rRNA". It matches the Rfam family "Eukaryotic small subunit ribosomal RNA", at positions 418 to 1750 of the family's 1831-position model. The record is from RNAcentral. Lineage: Eukaryota; Metazoa; Arthropoda; Insecta; Hemiptera; Miridae.
CCAAGGAGGCAGCAGGCGCGCAAAUUACCCMCCUCCCCGGCACGGGGAGGUAGUGACAAAAAAUAACGAUACGGGACUCUUUUGAGGCCCCGUAAUCGGAAUGAGUACACUUUAAAUCCUUUAACAAGGAUCCAUUGGAGGGCAAGUCUGGUGCCAGCAGCUGCGGUAAUUCCAGCUCCAAUAGCGUAUAUUAAAGUUGUUGCGGUUAAAAAGCUCGUAGUUGGUUCUGCGUGCUACGCUGUCGGUUCGCCGCCUGCCGGUGUAACUGGCAUGCCGUGGCAUGUCCUGUCGGUGGCGAACGAGCGCCUUGUCAGGUGACGAUCAGUUCUCUGUUCGUAGGCCGGGGGUUCAACUCGUUCGUCUGCUCUAUCCUACCGCGGUGCUCUUCACCGAGUGUCGAGGUAGGCCGACACGUUUACUUUGAACAAAUUAGAGUGCUCAAAGCAGGCUGAAAUCUCUGCCUGAAUAGUGGUGCAUGGAAUAAUAAAACAGGACCUUGGUUCUAUUUUGUUGGUUCUUAAGAACACAAGGUAAUGAUCAAUACGGACAGGCGGGGGCAUUCGUAUUGCGACGUUAGAGGUGAAAUUCUUGGAUCGUCGCAAGACGCACAAGAGCGAAAGCAUUUGCCAAGUAUGUCUUGAUUGAUCAAGAACGAAAGUUAGAGGUUCGAAGGCGAUCAGAUACCGCCCUAGUUCUAACCAUAAACGAUGCCAGCCAGCGAUCCGCCGAUGUUCCUCCGAUGACUCGGCGGGGAGCUUCUCCCCGGGAAACCAAAGCUUUUGGGUUCCGGGGGAAGUAUGGUUGCAAAGCUGAAACUUAAAGGAAUUGACGGAAGGGCACCACCAGGAGUGGAGCCUGCGGCUUAAUUUGACUCAACACGGGAAACCUCACCAGGCCAGGACAUUGGAAGGAUUGACAGAUUGAUAGCUCUUUCUUGAUUCAGUGGGUAGUGGUGCAUGGCCGUUCUUAGUUGGUGGACCGAUUUGUCUGGUUAAUUCCGAUAACGAACGAGACUCUAGCCUAUUAACUAGGCGGUUUCCGGUGUCCUCGCCACCGGCGACACUCAUUCUUCUUAAGGGGACAGGCGGCUUACAGCCGCACGAGAUUGAGCAAUAACAGGUCUGUGAUGCCCUUAGAUGUCCUGGGCCGCACGCGCGCUACACUGAAGGAAUCAGCGUGUGCCUCCCUGGCCGAAAGGCCCGGGUAAUCCGCUGAACCUCCUGCGUGCUAGGAAUUGGGGCUUGCAAUUGUUCCCCAUGAACGAGGAAUUCCCAGUAAGCGCGAGUCAUAAGCUCGCGUUGAUUACGUCCCUGCCCUUUGUACACACCGCCCGUCGCUACUACCGAUUGAAUGAUUUAGUGAGGUCUUCGGACUGGCGGUAAUCCCUA